Molecule: long non-coding RNA, 734 nt
Filed under: Pan troglodytes (chimpanzee)
Lineage: Eukaryota; Metazoa; Chordata; Mammalia; Primates; Hominidae
Description: lincRNA
Source: RNAcentral
AGAUUCCGAAGGCCUGAGGACUUGGCACAAAAUGAGGAGGCAGAGGAUGAUGACACAAACUUACAGACUGGGACUCCAAGGAUCAGCCAGAUGAAAUGCUAUGUCCAGAGUCUUCAUUUCCCAGCUCAGUGGUGGACAGCAGAGGACUCUGAGAAUCACCUCCCAAAUGAACUACCUUGACAUGCCCUGACCCAGGCUUUUUAUUUGGAAACCCAGGCUAGGACAGGAAUGAAGAGAAGCCAGACCUUCUGACUCGAAGAUCCAGCCACCUCUUGGGAUGCACACGUUUCUCUUCAACUGCGUGAUGUGAACUGCGUCACAUGGUCAAAUUAUAAUGAAGAAAGGAACCUCUCUUGAGUACAAAGAGCUACCUACGGUGGUCUGGAGCCGGAGGACCACAGCAUCAAAGGAUAUAAGAUGCAUAGCCAACUGAGGAACCUGAGCAAUUAAAGAGAUCCACAGUUAAGUCACACUUAACUGGCACUUGUGGAAGCCCCGCAAGGCCUGAAGGAGAGCUGACAUAGGCACCCCAGAGAGCCAGAAUCUGGAUCCCAUCUUAAUAAGGCCAUGAACACCAGUGGAGAAGAGGUAGAAACACCAAUGGAUAAGGAACAUUCACAUCUUUCUUCCCACGUGCCUCUAAGUGCCAGUGCAGGCCCCACAGGCCAAGCUACAGGGAGAAAGGAGAUGACGCAAAGGAACCUAACUGGACUUUAAUCACUAGAAGUGAGAAG